RNAcentral lists this ribosomal RNA (256 nucleotides) under uncultured bacterium. Its description in RNAcentral is "partial 16S ribosomal RNA". It matches the Rfam family "Bacterial small subunit ribosomal RNA", at positions 524 to 776 of the family's 1533-position model. The record is from RNAcentral.
UACAGAGGUCUCAAGCGUUGUUCGGAUUCAUUGGGCGUAAAGGGUGCGUAGGUGGCGCCGUAAGUCGGGGUGUGAAAUUUCGGAGCUUAACUCCGAAACUGCAUUCGAUACUGCGGUGCUUGAGGAGCUGGAGAGGAGACUGGAAGUUCAUGGUGUAGCAGUGAAAUGCGUAGAGAUCAUGAGGAAGACCAGUGGCGAAGGCGGGUCUCUGGGCAAUAACUGACGCUGAGGAGCGAAAGCGUGGGGAGCGAACAGG